This 1071-nucleotide long non-coding RNA is filed under the name Parus major (Great Tit). RNAcentral's name for it is "lncRNA (ENSPMJG00000002506.1)". Lineage: Eukaryota; Metazoa; Chordata; Aves; Passeriformes; Paridae. The record is from RNAcentral.
CCCAGGGGAUAGGGGACACCCCCAGGAGUCUGGGGACACCCCCAGGGGUCGGAGACACGCCCAGGGGUCGGAGACACGCCCAGGGGACACCCCCAGGGGUCGGACACACGCCCAGGGGACAGGGGACACCCCCAGGGGAUGGGAAACACCCCCAGAGGUCUGGGGACACCCCCAGGAGUCGGGGACACCCUCAGGGGACAGGGGACACUCCCAGGAGUCGGGGACACCCUCAGGGGACAAGGGACACCCCCAGGGGACAGGGGACACCCCAAGGGGAUAGGGGACACCCCCAGGGGUCGGAGACACGCCCAGGGGACAGGGGACACCCCAAGGGGACAGGGGACACCACCAGGGGUCGGGGACACCCCCAGGAGUCGGGGACACCCUCAGGGGACAGGGGACACUCACAGGGGUCUGGGACACUCCCAGGGGACAGGGGACACCCCCAGGGUUCUGGGGACACCCUCAGGGAUUGGGAUGGGAUCCAUGGGAUGGGAUCCAUGGGGAUGGGAUGGGUUGGGAUCCGAUGGGACCCCCGUGCGAGGUCCGUGCCCCCUCCCCCGGCCCCCCCAGGUGAGCCGGCAGCGCAAGGUGGGGGUGCUGUACCUGUCUCUUAUACACAUCUCCAGCCCCACGUCCCCCCGCUUCCGCGACCCUCUGCUGCUGCUGGGGCUGGCGGCGGGCGGGGGGGACCCCGACUUCUUCCCCCGCCCACCCUGGAGCCCCCUCCUCGCCCAUUACGAUGUUCAAAGCAUCCUCUUCGAUCCCACCGAGCCCCCCCCGGGCCCUCCCGGCCUCAUCUCGGGGGCUUCUGCCGCUCACCUGGAGCCCGAGGAGCCCCCCGGGCCCCCCCGCGCCGCCCCCGACCCCGAGGCGCUGGUGCUGAGCUGCCCCCGAUUCUGCUGCGAGACCGGGGGGGAGCAGGAGCCGGGGUUGGGGUCCCACCGGAGCCCCCCCGGGCCCGGGCAGCUCCCGAAUGCGGCGGUGGCGGUGCUGGAGGAGCCCCCGGCGGGGGCGCGACCCCCGCACCCCAUCGAGCACAGCGAUGAGGGCGCGGAGUAUUACCGCAAA